RNAcentral lists this ribosomal RNA (253 nucleotides) under uncultured bacterium. Its description in RNAcentral is "partial 16S ribosomal RNA". It matches the Rfam family "Bacterial small subunit ribosomal RNA", at positions 524 to 776 of the family's 1533-position model. The record is from RNAcentral.
UACGUAGGGGGCUAGCGUUGUCCGGAAUCAUUGGGCGUAAAGGGCGUGUAGGCGGCUCGGUAAGUCCGCUGUGAAAGUCGGGGGCUCAACCCUCGAAUGCCGGUGGAUACUGUCGAGCUAGAGUGCGGAAGAGGCGAGUGGAAUUCCUGGUGUAGCGGUGAAAUGCGCAGAUAUCAGGAGGAACACCUAUUGCGAAGGCAGCUCGCUGGGACGUUACUGACGCUGAGACGCGAAAGCGUGGGGAGCAAACAGG